Molecule: ribosomal RNA, 255 nt
Filed under: uncultured bacterium
Lineage: Bacteria
Description: partial 16S ribosomal RNA
Rfam family: Bacterial small subunit ribosomal RNA
Source: RNAcentral
UACAGAGGUCUCAAGCGUUGUUCGGAUUCAUUGGGCGUAAAGGGUGCGUAGGUGGCGCUGUAAGUCAGGUGUGAAAUUUCGGAGCUUAACUCCGAAACUGCAUUUGAUACUGCGGUGCUUUGAGGACUGGAGAGGAGACUGGAAUUUACGGUGUAGCAGUGAAAUGCGUAGAGAUCGUAAGGAAGACCAGUGGCGAAGGCGGGGUCUCUGGACAGUUCCUGACACUGAGGCACGAAGGCCAGGGGAGCAAACGGG